GAUGAAGAACGUAGCGAAAUGCGAUAAGUAAUGUGAAUUGCAGAAUUCCGUGAAUCAUCGAAUCUUUGAACGCACAUUGCGCCCUUUGGCAUUCCGAAGGGCACACCUGUCCGAGCGCCGUCGCACAACUGAGGCGCAGCCUUGCGUUGGCGGGCGACUUGUGAGUAGCGAGUCGCCGCCCAAACGAGACGGCGCCGCGCCGCGGCCGACGAAGCACGAAAGCGGAAGUCGACGCGGAGGCGGUUGCCUGUAGGAAGACACAGCUUGGCCUCGGAUCAGGUGGGGAUACCCGCUGAACUUAAGCAUAUCAAUAAGCGGAGGA
RNAcentral lists this unclassified non-coding RNA (322 nucleotides) under soil metagenome. RNAcentral's name for it is "partial contains 5.8S ribosomal RNA, internal transcribed spacer 2, and large subunit ribosomal RNA". The stretch from base 1 to 120 matches the Rfam family "5.8S ribosomal RNA", at positions 35 to 154 of the family's 154-position model. The record is from RNAcentral.